This 1289-nucleotide ribosomal RNA is filed under the name metagenome. RNAcentral's name for it is "SSU rRNA". It matches the Rfam family "Eukaryotic small subunit ribosomal RNA", at positions 3 to 1297 of the family's 1831-position model. The record is from RNAcentral.
CCUGGUUGAUCCUGCCAGUAGUCAUAUGCUUGUCUCAAAGAUUAAGCCAUGCAUGUCUAAGUAUAAAAGUAUUCUAUACUUGAAACUGCGAAUAGCUCAUUAAAUCAGUUAUAGUUUAUUUGAUGGUGCCUUACUACAUGGAUACCCGUAGUAAUUCUAGAGCUAAUACAUGCCAAGAAAGCCCUGCCGUAAGGCAGGGUUGUAUUUAUUAGAUAAAAAACCUUUACUCGCAAGGGUUUUUGUGGUGAUUCAUAAUAACUGUUCGAAUCGCGGCGCAAGCUGCGAUUGAUCAUUCAAAUUUCUGCCCUAUCAGCUCUCGACGGUAGUGUAGUGGACUACCGUGGCAUUAACGGGUAACGGAGAAUUAGGGUUCGAUUCCGGAGAGGGAGCCUGAGAAACGGCUACCACAUCCAAGGAAGGCAGCAGGCGCGCAAUUACCCAAUCCUGACACAGGGAGGUAGUGACAAAAAAUAACAAUACCGGGCGCUUCGCGUCUGGUAAUUGGAAUGAGUUCAAUUUAAAUCCCUUAACGAGGAUCAAUUGGAGGGCAAGUCUGGUGCCAGCAGCCGCGGUAAUUCCAGCUCCAAUAGCGUAUAUUAAAGUUGCUGCAGUUAAAAAGCUCGUAGUUGAAUUUCUGGUACGAUGUGCCUGGUCCACGGUCGCAAGGCCGCGCGUAUCGGAGUACGUCUGCCAUCCUUCUAGUUAACUGGCUAUACUUAACUGUGUGGUCAGCAACCUAGAUCUUUUACUUUGAAAAAAUUAGAGUGUUUAAAGCAGGCUCGCGCUGUGAAUACAUUAGCAUGGAAUAAUAAUUUAGGACUUUGCUUCUAUUUUAUUGGUUUCUAGGGGUAAAGUAAUGAUUGAUAGGGAUAGUUGGGGGUGCUAGUAUUCAUCGGCCAGAGGUGAAAUUCUUGGAUUCGAUGAAGACUAACUUAUGCGAAAGCAUUCACCAAGGAUGUCUUCUUUAAUCAAGAACGAAAGUUGGGGGAUCGAAGACGAUCAGAUACCGUCGUAGUCUCAACCAUAAACUAUACCGACUAGGGAUUAGUGGAAGUUGCUAUAUCGACUCCAUUAGCACCUUAUGAGAAAUCAGAAGUCUUUGGGUUCUGGGGGGAGUAUGGUCGCAAGGCUGAAACUUAAAGGAAUUGACGGAAGGGCACCACCAGGAGUGGAGCCUGCGGCUUAAUUUGACCCAACACGGGGAAACUUACCAGGUCCGGACAUAGUGAGGAUUGACAGAUUGAAGUUCUUUCUUGAUUCUAUGUGUGGUGGUGCACGGCCGUUCUUAG